This is a long non-coding RNA of Ochotona curzoniae (black-lipped pika), 11264 nucleotides long. RefSeq lists it as uncharacterized. The record is from RefSeq and is a predicted model, not a curated record. NCBI's taxonomy places the organism in Eukaryota, Metazoa, Chordata, Mammalia, Lagomorpha, Ochotonidae. The transcript has 2 exons.
CCUGUGGCCUUUCCUGUGAAGGUCACCUUCCUCACUGCUGGGCAUAGAUUUUCCAACUUCUCCAUUCACAAUCUCCUAAACAAUCGCUCUCUUCUUUGCAUUCUCCUACUCUUGGCUUUUCUGUGAAUGAGGUUGGUUACAAGCAUAGCCUUGGGGGAAGGGUGCCCAGCUGAGGGAUGUGUGGGAGAUGGUUGGGCAGCUCAGCUACUGCUGCCGCUGGGCAUAGCACUGGCCAAGCAUUGGACCUCCCACAGUAAGCAAAUGGAAACUGUCCUUGGUCCACAGCAGCCAGGCGUGAGACUCUGGGUUUAACCCCUUGGUUGUCCUGGAAGCUGGCCUGGACUCUUCUCUGUUCCUUCUCACUCCAGUGCCCUGUAACCUUGAUGGGUCCUUGUCCAGGGCCAUGGUCUGAAGUUCAGAUGGGGCUGAGGGAGGAGCUCUGGGACAUCCCCCUGUUUGUGGACUUUGCUUUCUGAAUAACUCUCUUUGUCCAGGCUCUCAUUGCCUUUGCCUUACAAAUAAGAUCCGGGCUCCAGCCAUGGCCGAGCAUGUCUGGGCUGUUGACGAGAUGCUUUUGCUCUGCCUUACUUGUCGCUGGUCUGAGUGAUAGUAGGAACGAUUAAAGAUGUUGACAACAUGAGGUGUGGGUGAGGUCUGGUGGGCCAAUUCAGAAAACAGACUGUGGGUGCUCACUAUGCCCCCGGAGCCUCCCUGCCCAUCAAGAAGGUGACUGCAGUAUCCUUGGUCUGUAAGGCUGAUUGGAGCCAGCCAGGAGCAUGUCUACCUGGGGUUCAAAGAUGAAAGGGUCUUCUAGGUGAUUUGAAGAGGCACUUCCAGUGUCAGUGCAGGCAUCCCUCUCCUGGUGCUGCUGCCUGUGCUCACGAGGGAAAGCUAGCACAUUGCCUAACAGGGUUUCCUCCUCCCCAUUUGGGAUGAGUCUGAGUUGGGCCUAAAUAGCCUGAGACACUGGCCAGUUUGAAGGAUGCUAAGCAGUCUGGGAAAGUGAAACAUUUCUUUCUUCAAGAUACUUGAGCAUCUUGUGGUGAGAGGUAGUUGGAGGGUUGGAGCUGGGGCAGGAAAACAGAGGAAAAGUCAGGUUGGCUGCAGGUACAGGGGGCAGACGAGGCCCCCCAGGACAUGAGCGAUGGAAUCUGACCACUGCUGGUCUGAGCUGGGGCCUUGGCUCUCACACAGGUGGCAUGUCUGUAGACCUGGCUCUGCCUGACCCCCACGCCUGCUCAGAGCCCCAUCCUUGGCUAGAUCAGGAGUAUUGCAGUGGGAUGUCACCGGGGAAUUGGUUCUACUUCUGGUCACCAUGCUUGCCCCUGGGGCUUGUUUGUUCCCAAAGUUGGGGUUGGAACUGGCCUGCUGAUUUUCCUAUUUUUGUCCCUUCUCUAGUUCUUUGCACCCUCUCACCAGCCUGCUGGCUCCUGCUGCCAUGACACUGGGCAUUGUGUACUGCCAGUCAGGCGAGCAGAACAGUUGGCAUCCCCUCCCAGGGGGCCCAGGCAUAUCUGGCACUUUUUCCUUGACCUUUGAAACCCUGAGGUUCAGGAGCCAAGAGGUGGUGUAGGACCUCUCCACCUGGUGAACCAGCAGAGGCUAAUGGAGUUGGUGGCACCAGAGCCCAGGUAAUGUGGCUUGGCUGGAGUAAUGGGGAGGGUCCCCACUGGGGGCCCUGAUUGGUCCAUGCUUUCUCGGUUUCCUGGAAUCCUGGUCUGAUCAAGCCUGAGAACUGUCUCAUGCAUAUCUUGGCUCCGUCUUCUGGUGUGAGUGGCUGUGACGUGGUAGGCACAGCUUUAGAGGGACCUGGUGUUUUGGCCUGGCCACCUCUAUGGGCCUAUUGCCUCUCCUUCCUUCCCUUCCCCUCUCUUUUCUCCCCUUCCUCCCUGCCCCCUGUUUGCUCUGCUGCUGUUCUGGGAGCUGGAGUGACUAUGAGAGAAGCUUGGAGUGGGUUUGGCUUCUGUCUAGCUCCUUCCACAGGAGCUCUACAUGGGCUUACACAGCCAGAGCCUCCAGGGCCCACGGUCUAUUCAGGCCUGUGUGGGCUGGUGUGGGGGGAUGGGGAUAGAGAGAACCAUGUGGGAGGACAGUCCAGUGCACAGCUAGGCCUGCCCGCUGUGGUCUCAGACUGAGGUGGGCGUCCCAGGGCCUGGCGCUGCAGGCAACAUGGUGCCCAGAUCUGGGCCUGUAAUGAGAUGGACAUCAGUGCUCAGGCUGUCCCAGAUGGGGGAGAUUGACCUUUGAAAAGGGGCCCUUCCGCUUUUGCUUAUCUGAUUCCUUCCACAGAACAGCGGGUGAUGUAGGAAAUGUUUCCCUUUUAUGGUUAAAGCCACUGUGAUUAUUAAGAAGUGACUGAGCCAAGGUCACACGCUUGAGGUUUCAAUCCAGGCACCUUUGCUUCCCAAUCUGUGCUCUCUUGUUCUCUCUCCUGUGGUGGAAGCAGACAUUUUUGGUGAGCUGAGACCCUCAGGUAAUCAAGGCAGCUCUCCCCUACCUCCCAUUGGGAACUUCCUAGUAGCUGGGGACUGUUGUGACACUUUCCUUUUAAGGGAGGCAGGGCCUGGGCAGGUCCCCUUCGGUGUCAGGCCAGCAGAAUUGGGCAUGGUCAGUACUGGCGUCACACCAAUGUGUCCGAGGCCUGUGCUUUCCCAAGGCAGUGUUUGAGCCUGAGGAGAGUCAUGAGUCAUUAUCUGACAAAGAAUGGACAACAAUUAUAAACCAGGCACAUCUGGAGAUUGUGUGAGGCCUGAGAAGGACACCCAUACAGAAGCGGGGGUGGGGGGUGGCGAGGCAGGUGACUGUCAGGGUCACAAGACUGAGGGGCCUUGGCCACCUGGGUGGCCAUGGGGUGGAGCCUGCCCAGCUGGGACAGUGGCCCCUGGCAUUUCCUAAGAACUAGGGAGACCCGCCCUCUGCUUGCAGGAACUCGCAGUGAGCCAAGGUCAGGAUGGGAGGGACACCACGCCUCUGGUCACCAGCAAACCGGUUUUUUUCCAUGUCCCGUGGCUUCUGUGCCCCGGCUCAGUCACCAUGCGUCUGUCUUUGGCCACGCAGCAUGCAGGGACAUUCUGGUUUGGCUUUUGCCGAGUCAUUGGUCAAAUAUGUGCCUACGAGAGGCACGCUUAGAGCUCAGCCUUGCCUGCCUGUCGGAACGUAUGGUUCCCAGAGCUAAUGACCGUGGGGCUGAGGUCACCCCUUGGUGAAUGCUCCGAGGAGCCUUAUUCUACGUAGGGCUGCUGUGGGUGGUGCAGGACAGCUCCUGGGCCCUGGAUCAUUGAUGUGGGAUCAGAGAUGGCCGGCCCCAGAUGAGUCAGGCCGGGGAUCCUCCUUCUGCCCAUGUAGCUGCCACCUGCUGUGGGGGCCUGGGGAGAGUGCGGUGUAUGUGGCUUGGUGAAGAGGAGACGGCUGGAGAACUGAGUUACUAUGAGACAAGGGAAGGGUUCCUGAAGGACUGUCUGGGAACUUCCAGAAUCCUCGGCCCCAGGAGGUUCUGUCAGCUGGAAGGAGGACCUGUGAAUGGGCACAGUUUCUGACAGUCCUCCCAGAAGGAGGAGGGGCGUCCACAGGGAUGGAUGCAGGUGAUGGGCCAUGAACACGGCUCCCACGGAGAAGUCUGUGGGAGAAGGGCCACGUGAGAGCUGCUGGAGCCUGUGGGGCUGUGUGGGGCUGUGUGGGGCUGCUCUGAGAGCCCAGGCCUGGGAGAGAUGCUCAGCCCUGCCUGGCUCUGCACCCUGGGGCGGUGAUGACGAUUGGUGGGCCGGCCAUUGUCUGCUCUGGUGGCUGUACCCUGUGAGGCCAGGAAGUUGUUCUUUAUAUUUAGCCUUCUUUUCUCAUGUGGUUGCUUAAGGCCUUCUAUUAAAAAAAAUCAAGUUACAUUUUAAAACAAAAAGAAGAUGACAACUAAAGAAAAGGAAGAGACAACACUAAAAAUAUCUCAGCACCACCAGUUCCAGUUUGGCUUUUCAGUCUUGAGUCAAUUAAAAAAAAAUGGCAGAAAUAAAACACAUGCAGGAAAGCCUGAAGAUCCAGACCCGGGCCAGGUGUGGCCCAAGCUCUGGUCCAGCCUCUACAUGCCAGGUUCAGUCCUGACCGUCUGCCCCUUGUCUGAGGCUGUGUGGCUGGGGCCCCUGAGGCUAGUGGGGCUCGUUGUGCAAUCUGUGAUGCAGAAGGCAGCUUUAAAAAUAACCCCACUUCUCCAGACACUGGCUGCCAUCCCUUUGCAGGAUGUCCACCCGGGGCUCGGGGGACCCGGGAGCCCGCUCCCCACUCCCAGUGGGGCACACAGAACAGGGCUAGAAUGCAGGGCUCAGCCAAGCGAGCCAUUGACUAUUUGUUCUCAUGUCACACUGCCCCUGUUGCUUGGGCGUCGCCCGUCUGGUCCCCACUCGACCCUGCUAGUCAGGUGGCAGUGUCCUUGUGGAUGUCAAGCUGGCUGCCUGUGCCUGCUCAGCUGGGCUCCCUGACCCCAGCCUGCUGGCUCCUGGUAUUGUCUUCUGGGGCAGGGGUGAGGGACGGGCUUGGGAGUGGGUCACUAGGGCCUGGGCAGUGUGCAUCUCUGAAGAUCCUGGGCUGCUUCUCUGUGCUUUGUGAAGGGAGCAAAACCUUUGCCCAUAUGGCUUCUCUUCUCUGAUUCUUUAGACUUCUUGACACUCCCUUGAGACCUGGUCUGCACUCCUUGACUGGGAAGAAGCCAGCCACGCCAUACGUGUUCCCCAAGAGAGUCUCUUCAUUUUGGAAGUUUCCAGAGUAUCUGACUAUGCUUCGGUUGAGUACCGUCACUGAAAGGUACAUCCUCGCUGUGGGAUUGUCAGGAUGUUUCUGAGAGAUGGGCGAGCGCCGCCCAGAACUUUGCUCAGCAUGUGUGGUGUGGUGUGUUACCUGUUGGCAGGCUCACAUGUAGCACCUGCUGCAGGUGCUGGCUAAGGUUCAAUGCGGCGUCAGGUACUAGAAACACCAGCUUCAGUGCUGGUGGUAGACCUCACCAUGAGAGUGAAGGUGGCUGAGAGGAUGCCCGGUCUCACCUAGCCUUGAACAUUGAGUGGAACCCGCUCUUUCCAGGGAUGCUGAGCCAAAUCCCUUGACUUUGUAUCUACCCCAGGCUUCCUGUGUGGGGUUAUAGCUGAUUGCUGUCAGCUGCUUCUGAGGAUUUUGGUGUAAGAAAGGGAAGAUUGGACAGGACAGCUUGCAUGUACCUCUGCGAACACCAAUCCUUUUGCUCUCCCUGAUGGCAGCCAUAGCUGUGAGACUCCCCAAGACAGGGAAUUGCUGUCUUGGAUGAUUCCUUUGCCAGCCACCUGGUGGGUAUGGCUCUUCCUGUUCCCCUGGUGGAUGGACAAAUGGAUGGGCUCAGUGUGCAGUGGGGAGAGCAGCUCAGGUCAGACCACAGGAAGCAGUCUGGGCCCUCGUUGCUGAAGGGUCUCAAACCCCAGGCCCAGGCUCUUUUAAUCCAACACGGGGAGACUGGACAUCCUAGACAGUGCCCCCCACCCCUUGCCACCAGUCAUGAGGCUGUGGUACCUGGCAGCCAUGGGCAGAAAGCUGGAGGUGUGGGUAUUAGGAUGGGAAGCAGGUUCCUCCCUUCUCUUUCCAUGUGGGGCAGGCAGGACUGGAAGGAGGUGUGCCAGUGUGGGCAUCCACCCUGGCACCGGAGUUUCCUUUUGCAGUGAGAAGCUGUGGUGCUGCUUGGGGAACCACUGCUAUUUGCAUGUCAAGAGAAAAGCAUAGUACUUCUCUGCCCUUCCAGGGAGGCCCUGUGCUAUUCCAGUCCUAUGGAGGCCUACCCUGUCUUCCUGGUAUUCAGGACCUUUGACGGGCAUGGCAGAGGAGCCCAGAACCCAGCAUUCCCGGUGGCGAGAAGAUGGAGGACCUGGCUCGGCUUCCGGCACCUCCCCCAGCCUGGCUGGAGCUCGCAUCAGUCACGUAAGUGGCGGUGACUCAGCACCCAGUGCUGGGUUGGGAGAGAGACGCUGCUGCCUUGGCAGGAACCUUCUCACGUCCUGGAUCGCGCACGCUGUGGCUACACAGAGCAGGCAAGCAGGGUUAGGUUCCUGGGGGCCCAUAGCUGGAUGCUUGGGUUGGGGGGUGUGUCACAACUCAGAACCCCCUUUUCCUUCUCCUGUUACUUCCAGGAGCACCCUCCUGGGCCUGGAAUACUUGGGGCUCUGAAUGAUGUGGAUAGCAAUCCUGGCUGCCAGGAUCAAGUAGAAGCUGUCUGGCAGCCUUCACCCAGUUUUCACCCCAAGGCCCAUGAAUUUUGUCUAACCCUCAGAUGUGUUUUGUCUUGCAUGACUUGCAUGGCGUGGGUUUGUGUGCCUAGAGGCAGCAUGGGACCUGUCCAGGUCACCCUAGACUGCUGCUGUGGCUGUUUCUCCCGACAUCCUGUCGCGUCCCCUGGACAUUGCAUGGAGUGAGACAGUCCACUCCGGCACCCCAUCUCUGCAGGUGGAGACCUGGAGGCCCGUCCAGGGCAAGCGGCAGCUCCCUGGUCUCAGAGCUGGCACCAAGCAGGCGUCAGAGCCACCGUGCUCUGAUUCAACGGCAGUGACCUUUCCUCCACCGUCAGGUCAGUGCCCAGGCCGAGGCGCGUCUGGCCGUGACAGGGUAGGGAAGCUGCCAGACAAGGGCUGGGGCCAGGGCCCCCAAGAGCACCUGCCUACGUGUUGGUUCCCUGCUGGCGGGCACCACUGCCCACCCCUCUUCAAAAUAGGACUGCCAAGAGCUUUGCUCAGGGCCAGUGUGCAUGGAGCCAGAGUGGGAGAAUCCUGUGGCUCCAGGUGGGCCGGUAGGCUGUCUCCAGGGAGCAUUUCUGAGCAGGUCACCUCAGGCUCCACGCCCCAGCCUCUAUCUGCGCAGUUAUGGUGGAAGUGCUGCUUGCCCCAGAGCUGGGUCAUCGCCUGCUGGCCUCCUGUAAGAGGGAGGACUUGUGGUUCUGUGGUGGGAGUCGAGGCAUGGAGGCAUGGUGGGCCUUUGCGGGAGAUCAGUGGAACCAGAAGGGGAGGAGCUGUUGGAUGGAAACUGUUGCUGCUCUUUCUUCCUGUGCAGGGUCCAUAGUAACCCAGCCUCACUCCCAUACUCAUCUUUCAGGGAGCUCAGUGUCCGCUUGUAGACAGGAGAAGGGGGAACCUGUGCCCCAGCCCCACCUCUUAGUUUUCUGUGCUGGCGGCCGCCUCGCUGUCCCUGUGGCUGCUUUGCUGGACUCGGGAUGGUGCUGAGCUUCAUGGGUCUCAGGCCAUUCAGGCAUUCUGUGACCACUGUCAUCAGGCAAGAUAAGUGCCUUCUCUCAGGAGGGUGCCUGAAGUGUCUCCCAAGCCAGGUAGGACCUGGAACCUUCCUUGAGCUAGGUGGGGGCACAGGACAGGGGUCUGGGAGAAUAGCAAAGGGCGAGUGGGUGGAGAGGUGGAGGGCAUUCCAGACAGGGGACGGCAUAGGCAGGGCACUGUGGGGGUGGCAGCGGAUCUCCCAUGAGGAUACAGGAAGGGGUUUGUGGAUCCUGGCAGCUAUGGAUUGCUAAGGGAGAGUGUGGUCAAACUGAAAAAAGCUGAGGAGCCCCAGGUGUGACCUCGUCUGCCCAUCAUUUCAUGGGAUUUAAACCUUCAGUAAUGGCUGUCAUGCAACAUGUUCCCCUGCCAUUUAAACUCCUGUUGUUGUACAGGUCACAGGGCCCAGGUGUCGGCAGCACUCAGAGCCUUGGGAUGCAGACCCAAGUGCUGGAGUCAGAACCCCCCCAACAAACACACACAGAUCCUCCACCCUCUUUCCCACCCCCCAACAUCUGCCUGCUGAGGGAAGAGAGCAGAGCAGUGGCCCUGAGCUGCCUGUACCUGUUACAUGACCAGAGUCAUGCUGCCACCUCCCCCCAGGUAUAACGUGUCACCUGAGGGGACUUCUGAAGGAUUGGGAACACACAGAAUAAAAAGGCAGGUUUCUAUUUAUUGCAAAGAGGAGGUGUAAAAGAAACCCAAUGACUGUUUUUUCACACGAUGCUCUCCGCAUGAACUUGUUUAAGACCCCACAUUGUUUAGCUAGCAUCAUCCCGCCUCGGCAGUAAUGCCUGGGGGUCCCUACCCUCAUCCUGCUGAUGACGAAGUUCAAGAACAAGAGAGGACGCACAUACCUGUGGAGGUCACAGAAGGCAGAGAGGGGCAGAGACUUGGGUCUGCAUUGAUUGCUCAUGUGGCUGUGAGCAGGGUGAUUUAGCUCCCCUAAAGAUCGGUUUCUUCUGAAAAACAGCAAAACCCGGCACGAACGCCUGUUUUUCAGGACUGCUGUGAGAGUGAAACAGCAAAGUUCUCGAGGUUCAGGUUUUCUUGCCUACCCUUAAAACAAACAUGUUGUUAGUGCCUGGCUCCGGGAAAACACAAACCCAUUUACAGGGAUCCACAGAAUUGGCAGAGAACCUGAAAGAUACAUCCUGUUCUCGCAUCUCCCUCGUGGUUAUGGUAUCAGAGGAAACACUUCACAAAACCAGAAAAGAGGAUGCAAAAAAAAAAAAAAAUUAAUUCAGAGCACAGUUGCAGAUCUGAUUUUCAGACAAAUUUGAAAACAAGACAAAACUUUAUUCUUAAUGAACAUAAGAUAAGCAGCUAAAUGUAGUUCCAGGUUUUUAAUUCGCAUCAGAGGCUAAAUCAGAUUGUCAUCUUAGGAGUUUGUAUCUGAGUGUUGUACUCCUUGUUUCUGGGUGGGAGGAGGGGCCCCUUGGGAAGUCGCCCUGGCCCAGAUGACGCUCACCUUAGCCCUUACUCCAGCAGGCAGGUAGGACGCCUGUGCCUGCACGAAGUGAGAAACCCCUUACACACUGGGCAGUGCACAAAUGCAGGGCUGUGUGAACGUAAAUGUUAAUGUAUUCUGAUACUAGCUUUGCUAGCUACUUCUUCCUGUGUGUUAGAAUUUGCAGAGACUGGAAUGAAUGCAUUUGUAUUGCUCUCAUGUAUUUGGAGUAUCAGCUCUGACUGGCAUGUGGCUUUGGCCAGCCCCAGCAAUGUCUUUUCUGAGGGGGCUUUCUGCCCGGUCACACGUCAAGCUUCAACAAGAUCCACCUCCGCCGGCUUCCGAUCGCACCUCCCUUCUGCCUGCAGUGAGAGCCUCUUCUUCUGGAAGCUGGUUUCACAUGGUGGCUUAGAUUUUUCCAUCUUUGUAUCUAGCACCAUUUGAAAUCAGUGUUUUAGGAGUAAGAAUUGCAGCAUGGCAGGGCACAGACUCCGUGGAACUGCUGCUGGGGAAGCUCCUGCCUCCUCCUGCCACCUGCGCCUGGGCAAGAAGCCGAAGGAAGACCCGAACAGCAGAGUCACUCGAAAAUGCUACGUUUUCUGAGGGGUGAUGGCAGUGGGGUGGGAUGGGUUUCUUGCAGCCGCCCGAGCAGCAGUACAGGCUGCCAUAUUUUUCCUGACCGCUGUCUGCUCACAGCCGUCUCUGGCGCCAGACUCUGGUAGGACUUGGAGCUGGGGUUGUGUUGUUGUGGAAUGCAUUAGGCACCAGGUACUGGCCGGCCAGCAGAUUGGGGCCAUGUGCUGGGGAGCUGUCCAACUACCCCUAAAUGAUGCUCCAGAGUGUUAAGCUGUGGGUGCUGUGCAGCUGAAGUCAGACUUGCCACUUGCAUGCAGGUACAGCCCUGGGGACGCCACUGGCCCAUCUCUUACACAGGCUGACCGAUUUCUCCUGGUGUUCAGAGUCUGUUUUUGUCUAGCACCAUUUGAAAUCGGUUAUGAUGUAGGGGGAAAAGCAGCGACCGCCACACCUCGUGCCGCCACCUCUGGUGUCCUGGAAGAUGGAUGGGCAGAGUAGGGAAGAAGGCACUCUUUCCUACUAACUGUAACUGAUUUUAUGAUGGUAUUACUGCAGAGGUAAGCCAUACAUUAUCGGUACAAAAACAACAAAUCACUAUCAUUUAUCUGAUGUCCUUCAUUAUGUUUCCUGAAUUGUAGAACUGCUGUAAAUUGUAUAAACUUGGUUGCUGUUGAAGUAUCUUUCUGUUAAGAUGAGUCUAUUCAUACAUCCUGACCUUAAUAAAUAAUUUACUAGAUUCAAUUUAUUAUGUCUGUGUUUUUCAUCUAUUAUUUUCCAUUCAUAAUUCCAUGACGAUAAGAAGUGGUUCCUGAAAAAUUAAUUGACUGUGCAGAUCCUCCCUAUUCCAUAAAGAAUUUGAAGUAGGCUGCAGCAGACAUUAAAAAUGAAGCCCAUUAAGACAAGGAAUUCUAUGAGCCAAAAAAUAAAGUGGGAGAAGAGAUGACGGAAGAGGAGAACUGUGGAUGGGCUGGGCUGAGGGCGUUCCUUACCAAAAGGGAGAAGCGUCUUUGGUUCCAAUCGGACUGCAGACCUGGCUGGCUGCCAGUCAGUGUUCCUGCAAGAAACUUUUGCUAACUGAACAUAUUGUCAGAGGGUCUUUGCAGGGAGCAGCACUGAUGUCACUCGCGUCCCAGCAGAUGGAGUUCUACUUUUGCCUGUGAGUUUAUAUCAACCCUUGAAAACAGGGUGAGCCAGUUUUGCAAAGCUAUUCGGAGAUUAGCCAGAUUUGACUUGGUAGGGGAGCAAGCUUGGAGAAUCUUCAAAAAGGCAGGCUCUGACCCCUCGGUGGUGAGGGCUUUUCCCACAGGAGGUGCAUGGCUGGCAGUGAGCUACCUGCAGCACAGUUAGUUCCAGCCAGUGGCUUUCAGUAAAUGAAGGCAAGUUGGCCACCUGAAAACAGGCCUCGCAGUCUUCCCCCAGAUGGCUGCUAUGCCCAUUGGGCUGGGGCUGAGAGGGAUGGGUGUAGUGUUUGCUGGGAAGACUUCCUGGGGAAUGGGAUGUGCCCCCUUGCUGAAGCUGUAGUGCUGUCGCAAGCCGUUGGUGGAAGAAUCCAUAGUCUAAUCCCCAGGAGGUGGGGGAUGUAGGAAGUUCGGAGUCUAAAUUGCACAUGGAGCUGCUGCUGUGACAGUUUGGGGUCUGUUGCAUUAACACAUUAAACAGGUUCUGAUCCAUGGUCCAUAUCUUGGACUCCUCAUUUGUUCCUGUUGCAAAUACAGAUACCAUGAGUAUACCCAGGUGACCCCAACUCUGCUGAGUGAUUGAGUUUAUAAGCAUCAAAGCACAAAAAUUUCAAUAAUAUGGGACAUCUUUUCCACAGAAGACGUUUGGGGCACUCUCAUUGCCAGCUUGAUCAUAAACGAUGCCACAUCAAUGGGUCGUGAGAAACAGAAUGUGCCUGGGACGUGUCUCAAACAGGGUUGCUUGGUUUUUCCAUGCCCAAAGCCCUUUGACUAAAAUUGCCAUGCCGAGGAGGAUUGGUU